RNAcentral lists this ribosomal RNA (491 nucleotides) under uncultured bacterium. RNAcentral describes it as "partial 16S ribosomal RNA". It matches the Rfam family "Bacterial small subunit ribosomal RNA", at positions 28 to 507 of the family's 1533-position model. The record is from RNAcentral.
GAUGAACGCUAGCUACAGGCUUAACACAUGCAAGUCGAGGGGAAACGACAUCGAAAGCUUGCUUUUGAUGGGCGUCGACCGGCGCACGGGUGAGUAACGCGUAUCCAACCUGCCCAUCACUUGGGAAUAACCUUGCGAAAGUAAGACUAAUACCCAAUGACAUCCCACGAAGACAUCUGAAUGGGAUUAAAGAUUUAUCGGUGAUGGAUGGGGAUGCGUCUGAUUAGCUUGUUGGCGGGGUAACGGCUCACCAAGGCAACGAUCAGUAGGGGUUCUGAGAGGAAGGGCCCCCGCAUUGGACCUGAGACACGGUCCAAACGCCUACGGGAGGCAGCAGUGAGGAGUAUUGGUCAAGGGGCGAGAGCCUGAACCAGCAAAGUAGCGUGCAGGAUGACGGCCCUAUGGGUUGUAAACUGCUUUUAUAAGGGAAUAAAGUGGGUCUCGUGAGACUUUUGGCAUGUACCUUAUGAAUAGGACCGGCUAAUUCCGUG